RNAcentral lists this ribosomal RNA (250 nucleotides) under uncultured bacterium. RNAcentral's name for it is "partial 16S ribosomal RNA". It matches the Rfam family "Bacterial small subunit ribosomal RNA", at positions 355 to 597 of the family's 1533-position model. The record is from RNAcentral.
UGGGGAAUUUUGGACAAUGGGCGAAAGCCUGAUCCAGCCAUGCCGCGUGAGUGAAGAAGGCCUUCGGGUUGUAAAGCUCUUUCAGGUGGAAAGAAAGCGGAUGGGCUAAUACCCUGUUCGGAUGACGGUACCACCAGAAGAAGCACCGGCUAACUACGUGCCAGCAGCCGCGGUAAUACGUAGGGUGCGAGCGUUAAUCGGAAUUACUGGGCGUAAAGCGUGCGCAGGCGGUUGUGUAAGACAGGUGUGA